Rhipicephalus microplus (southern cattle tick) is the source of this 579-nucleotide long non-coding RNA. Lineage: Eukaryota; Metazoa; Arthropoda; Arachnida; Ixodida; Ixodidae. The record is from RefSeq and is a predicted model, not a curated record.
GACAAGAGCAGGCGCGCGAGAUCAAGCCGUGCUCCGAAGGAAGGAGGCUGGCAACGAGUGUGCUCCGGCGGUGCCUGGCGAGUCGGGGGAUAACGUGUAUUUCAUCCGGCGGGGCAGCUACGCUCGCGCGUACAGUGUUUGUGUGUGUGUGUGUUUUGUGGCUCGUAGCAGUCCACAUUCCAGCGUGCGCGCCGGACACGCCGCGUCUUACAUUGUUUCGUGCCAAGAGAGGGAUACGACGACCAGAGGAUUACUACUGCGUGCAUCAGGUGGUCAGCACACUUCGGAGAGGAACACGGCGGAAACCACCGGCCGUGCUGGGACGUCAACCCCUUCUGUUUUGGCAGCUUGAUUGGCCCGUGUUUCGGUCGGGCGCGACGGUUCCAGGAAAAACGUCUCUCGCCGGGCGGCCAGCAGCCGGCAUCCGAGAGCGGCUUCCCGUGGCUGGAAAGUGUACGUGCAAGUGCUUUGGUUAGAAUAGAGUUCCGAAGCUGACGUCACAGUGAAUCCCCCCAUCUUCGGUAAUCAACGUGGGCGUCGCACCUUUAAACCAGUGGCUUCUGCGGAGAAUUCUGCAAC